RNAcentral lists this unclassified non-coding RNA (1368 nucleotides) under uncultured Neocallimastigales. Its description in RNAcentral is "partial contains internal transcribed spacer 1, 5.8S ribosomal RNA, internal transcribed spacer 2, and large subunit ribosomal RNA". The stretch from base 597 to 1368 matches the Rfam family "Eukaryotic large subunit ribosomal RNA", at positions 1 to 634 of the family's 3401-position model. Lineage: Eukaryota; Fungi; Neocallimastigomycota; Neocallimastigomycetes; Neocallimastigales. The record is from RNAcentral.
UAAAUAAUCCUACCCUUUGUGAAUUUUGUUUGUUUGAAUAAUUUUUUUUUUUUAAAAAAUUAUUGGAGUCUUUCCCUUUAGAGUUUGCUUUUGAGUUUGUAAAAGAAUUCGAAAACAUCUAAAGGGGAUGGUCAAUAAUUUUUUUUGAAAAAAGACAUUUUUUUAAAAUUAAACUUUUUGUAUUCAUUUGUCUAAAAAUUAUUUUUAUAAUAUAAAAACAACUUUUGACAAUGGAUCUCUUGGUUCUCGCAACGAUGAAGAACGCAGCAAAAUGCGAUAAGUAGUGUGAAUUGCAGAAUACGUGAAUCAUCGAUCUUUGAACGCAUAUUGCACUUUUUUAGUUUACUAAAAAAGUAUGUCUGUUUGAGUAUCAGUAAAAUAUUCUCAUAAAAAUCAUUGGUAUUUUUAUGGUUAUGAGUGUUUUACAACGAUACAAGUUGUUUCACUUUAAAUUUUUUUUUAAUAUUGAAAUUUUUCUAAUUUUAAUAAUUAAAAUUGGAUAAAAUUUUCCCGUCAAAAGGAAUAACCUAAACAAUUUUAAACGAUUAAUUUUAGCAAAAUUUUCGUAAAAAAGGAAAAUUUUUAUUAAAAUAACUUGAUCUCAAAUCAGAUAAGAGUACCCGCUGAACUUAAGCAUAUCAAUAAGCGGAGGAAAAGAAACUAACAAGGAUUCCCUUAGUAACGGCGAGUGAAGCGGGAAGAGCUCAAAUUUGAAAUCUUCAAGGUUUUACCUUGACGAAUUGUAGUUUAAAGAAGUGUUUUCUGCUGAAGUUUUGGUAAAAGUUCUUUGGAAUAGGACAUCAUAGAGGGUGAGAAUCCCGUAUUUGACCAUUAUUUUCAGCUUUGUGAUACACUUUCAAAGAGUCGGAUUGUUUGGGAAUGCAGUCCAAAAUGGGUGGUAAAUUUCAUCUAAAGCUAAAUAUUGGCGAGAGACCGAUAGCGAACAAGUACCGUGAGGGAAAGAUGAGAAGAACUUUGAAAAGAGAGUUAAACAGUACGUGAAAUUGUCAAAAGGGAAGCGUUUGACACCAGUGUUGUUUUCUCGAAAAUCAAUUAAAAAUGGCUCGAUUUUGUAUGCUGAGACCUUAAAAGCUCACUGUACAUUUUUCGUGUCUUUUUUAAUGCACUUUUCGUUUAACAAGUCAACAUCAGUUUCUUUUGUUGUAAAAGGGUCAUUGGAAGGUGGCUUUCUUUUCGGAGAAAGUGUUUAUAGCCUUUGGCCUCUGCAAUCGAGAGACUGAGGUCUGCAGCGUAGACUCUUCGGGGUUAGAUACAUUUGUGCUAAGUUAUAGCUUUUAUAGACAACUUGUUGACUAUAAUUAGUCUUGUAGCUUACUCGCUUAUGCUAUUUUACCUACGCUUAGGAUG